GACGAACGCUGGCGGCGUGCUUAACACAUGCAAGUCGAACGGAAAGGCCCUGCUUUUGUGGGGUGCUCGAGUGGCGAACGGGUGAGUAACACGUGAGUAACCUGCCCUUGACUUUGGGAUAACUUCAGGAAACUGGGGCUAAUACCGGAUAGGAGCUCUUGCUGCAUGGUGGGGGCUGGAAAGUUUCGGCGGUUGGGGAUGGACUCGCGGCUUAUCAGCUUGUUGGUGGGGUAGUGGCUUACCAAGGCUUUGACGGGUAGCCGGCCUGAGAGGGUGACCGGCCACAUUGGGACUGAGAUACGGCCCAGACUCCUACGGGAGGCAGCAGUGGGGAAUAUUGCACAAUGGGCGGAAGCCUGAUGCAGCAACGCCGCGUGCGGGAUGACGGCCUUCGGGUUGUAAACCGCUUUCGCCUGUGACGAAGCGUGAGUGACGGUAAUGGGUAAAGAAGCACCAGCUAACUACGUG
Molecule: ribosomal RNA, 468 nt
Filed under: uncultured bacterium
Lineage: Bacteria
Description: partial 16S ribosomal RNA
Rfam family: Bacterial small subunit ribosomal RNA
Source: RNAcentral